GCCUGGCUAGCUCAUUUGGUAGAGCGUGUGACUCUCGAUCUCAGGGUUAUUGGUUUGAGCCCCACGUUGGGUG
Molecule: transfer RNA, 73 nt
Filed under: Ailuropoda melanoleuca (giant panda)
Lineage: Eukaryota; Metazoa; Chordata; Mammalia; Carnivora; Ursidae
Rfam family: tRNA
About the family: Transfer RNA (tRNA) molecules are approximately 80 nucleotides in length. Their secondary structure includes four short double-helical elements and three loops (D, anti-codon, and T loops).
Source: Rfam by way of RNAcentral